This 397-nucleotide ribosomal RNA is filed under the name uncultured bacterium. RNAcentral describes it as "partial 16S ribosomal RNA". It matches the Rfam family "Bacterial small subunit ribosomal RNA", at positions 523 to 918 of the family's 1533-position model. The record is from RNAcentral.
AUACGUAGGGGGCGAGCGUUGUCCGGAAUGAUUGGGCGUAAAGGGCGCGUAGGCGGCCCGGUAAGUCUGGAGUGAAAGUCCUGUUUUUGAGAUGGGAAUUGCUUUGGAUACUGUCGGGCUUGAGUGCAGGAGAGGUAAGUGGAAUUCCCAGUGUAGCGGUGAAAUGCGUAGAGAUUGGGAGGAACACCAGUGGCGAAGGCGACUUACUGGACUGUUACUGACGCUGAGGCGCGAAAGUGUGGGGAGCAAACAGGAUUAGAUACCCUGGUAGUCCACACUGUAAACGAUGAAUGCUAGGUGUAGGGGGUAUCGACCCCUUCUGUGCCGCAGUCAACACAAUAAGCAUUCCGCCUGGGGAGUACGGCCGCAAGGUUGAAACUCAAAUGAAUUGACGGGG